This 403-nucleotide ribosomal RNA is filed under the name uncultured bacterium. Its description in RNAcentral is "partial 16S ribosomal RNA". It matches the Rfam family "Bacterial small subunit ribosomal RNA", at positions 30 to 526 of the family's 1533-position model. The record is from RNAcentral.
AUUGAACGCUGGCGGCAGGCCUAACACAUGCAAGUCGAGCGAGCGGCGGACGGGUGAGUAAUGUAUGGGGACUGCCCGGUAGAGGGGGUUAACUACUGGCAACGGUGGCUAAUACCGCAUACUAUCGGAAAACCCAUAUGGGAUUAGCUAGUCGGUGGGGUAAAGGCUCACCUAGGCGACGAUCUCUAGCUGGUCUGAGAGGAGGAUCAGCCACACCGGGACUGAGACAUGGCCCAGACCCCUACGGAGGCAGCAGUGGGGAAUAGUGCACAAUGGGCGCAAGCCUGAUGCAGCCAUGCCGCGUGUAUGAAGAAGGCCUUAGGGUUGUAAAGUACUUUCAGCGGGUAGGCGUUACCCGCAGAAGAAGCACCGGCUAACUCCGUGCCAGCAGCCGCGGUAAUUC